Molecule: ribosomal RNA, 253 nt
Filed under: uncultured bacterium
Lineage: Bacteria
Description: partial 16S ribosomal RNA
Rfam family: Bacterial small subunit ribosomal RNA
Source: RNAcentral
UACAUGUGGGGCAAGCGUUGUUCGGAAUUACUGGGCAUAAAGGGUGCGUAGGUGGUUGCGUAAGUAACGUGUGAAAUCCCUCGGCUUACCCGGGGAAUUGCGCGUUAUACUGCGUGACUUGAGGAUUUCAGGGGAAUGGGGAACUCCAGGUGUAGCGGUGAAAUGCGCAGAUAUCUGGGGGAAGGCCGGCGGCGAAGGCGCCAUUCUGGGAAAUUCCUGACACUGAGGCACGAAAGCGUGGGGAGCAAACAGG